ACCCUUAGAACCGAGUUUGUGA
RNAcentral lists this microRNA (22 nucleotides) under Xenoturbella bocki. RNAcentral's name for it is "Xbo-Mir-10-P2-as_5p (mature (guide))". Lineage: Eukaryota; Metazoa; Xenacoelomorpha; Xenoturbellidae. The record is from RNAcentral.